RNAcentral lists this ribosomal RNA (764 nucleotides) under uncultured bacterium. RNAcentral describes it as "bacterial SSU rRNA". It matches the Rfam family "Bacterial small subunit ribosomal RNA", at positions 1 to 761 of the family's 1533-position model. The record is from RNAcentral.
AGGGAGUUUUGAUUCAUGGCUCAGGAUGAACGCUAGCGGCGGGCUUAACACAUGCAAGUCGAGGGGUAACAGGAAGAGCUUGCUCUUUGCUGACGACCGGCGAACGGGUGCGUAACGCGUAUGCAAUCUACCUCUAACUGGAGCAUAGCCCAGAGAAAUCUGGAUUAAUACUCCAUAGUAUUGUUCUUUCGCAUGUUAGAACAAUUAAAAUUUCGAUGGUUAGAGAUGAGCAUGCGUCCUAUUAGUUUGUUGGUGAGGUAACGGCUCACCAAGGCUACGAUAGGUAGGGGGCCUGAGAGGGUGACCCCCCACACUGGUACUGAGACACGGACCAGACUCCUACGGGAGGCAGCAGUGAGGAAUAUUGGUCAAUGGACGAAAGUCUGAACCAGCCACGCCGCGUGAAGGAUGAAUGCCCUAUGGGUUGUAAACUUCUUUUGUAUGGGAAGAAACCUCCGGACGUGUCCGGAGCUGACGGUACCAUACGAAUAAGCACCGGCUAACUCCGUGCCAGCAGCCGCGGUAAUACGGAGGGUGCAAGCGUUAUCCGGAAUUAUUGGGUUUAAAGGGUGCGUAGGCGGGAUGAUAAGUCAGUGGUGAAAUCUUACAGCUUAACUGUAAAACUGCCAUUGAUACUAUCAUUCUUGAAUACAAUUGAAGUGGGCGGAAUGUGUCAUGUAGCGGUGAAAUGCUUAGAUAUGACACAGAACACCUAUUGCGAAGGCAGCUCACUAAGUUGUUAUUGACGCUGAGGCACGAAAGCG